This 253-nucleotide ribosomal RNA is filed under the name bacterium. Its description in RNAcentral is "partial 16S ribosomal RNA". It matches the Rfam family "Bacterial small subunit ribosomal RNA", at positions 524 to 776 of the family's 1533-position model. The record is from RNAcentral. RNAcentral also lists the same sequence under 2 other names.
UACAGGGGGGGCAAGCGUUGUUCGGAAUUACUGGGCGUAAAGGGUUCGUAGGUGGCCAACUAAGUCAGAUGUGAAAUCCCUCAGCUUAACUGGGGAACUGCUUCUGAUACUGGUUGGCUUGAGUGCAGGAGAGGAAUGCGGAAUUCCAGGUGUAGCGGUGAAAUGCGUAGAUAUCUGGAGGAACACCGGUGGCGAAGGCGGCAUUCUGGACUGUAACUGACACUGAGGAACGAAAGCCAGGGGAGCAAACGGG